Sciurus carolinensis (gray squirrel) is the source of this 562-nucleotide long non-coding RNA. RefSeq lists it as uncharacterized. The record is from RefSeq and is a predicted model, not a curated record. The transcript is spliced from 3 exons. NCBI's taxonomy places the organism in Eukaryota, Metazoa, Chordata, Mammalia, Rodentia, Sciuridae.
UAACAACUGGCAAAUGACAACCUGGGAUUACUGCAUGCUGCUUAAACAAAUGAUUAGCCCACAUAACAUUUACUAAAGGAUUCGUGGUUUUAAGGUCAUAGAAGAACAUACCCCGGUCACAAAUUUUAAUUGAGCAUCCCCAAAGAUUUGCUUUCAUCUGCCACCUGUGGACAGCUGCCCACUCUUCUAAAUGACCUUUGUCUGAAACUUCAGCCAUGAGACUGCAAAAUGAGUUUCCUGUGUACCAUUCCAAGCACAGCUUUCCAGUCCAGUCCAGUCAACCAUUUUCCUGUGAUCCAACAACCCAUAUGGAUAGAAACUUUAAUAUAUGAAUGUGGUAACCAGAGUUUACUUAGGGAGUGAAGUAGAGACACAGUUUUUUAUAACAUCAUUUUAUAGUCUAUCAAACCCUUUCUAUUUUUAGUAUUUUACAUUUUGUGAUAAUACAUUUAGGUUUUUAGAUCUUAUUAAUAUGUAAUCAUAUUAAAUUGAAAAAUAUAUCAAGAGCAAAAAAAGGUUUUAGGGAAUAGGCCAAAGGACGGGGUUGGGAAAGAUGAAAAUG